This is a long non-coding RNA of Ictalurus punctatus (channel catfish), 515 nucleotides long. The record is from Ensembl. Lineage: Eukaryota; Metazoa; Chordata; Actinopteri; Siluriformes; Ictaluridae.
UACUUAUUGUUGUAAUGGCUUUGGCUCAAACAAGAAAAGAGAGGAAACUUUUGAAAGAAAGGAUGAAUAAAUAAGGCCAUUUACUAGUGUUUCACUACCAGUUCUCCAUAUAUCUAUCUUACACGUGACCCUCUGAUGCACUCGAUUCAGUGCUUAUGGCUCUGAGCUUGUGAUCCAAAGCUUGUGACUCUGAGAGCCUCUGAUGGGCCCUUGAGCAAGAUUCUUCUCCACCAACUGCUCACCUGUAUGCUUGGAUUCUCUCCAGGUCUGUUCAAAUGGAACUGUAACUCAAGAAGCUACAAUCAUCAAUUUAAAGGGCAAUUAUAUGAUCAUGUGAAUGACGCAUUGGCCACCUGAAGCUUCCUGGCUCACAACCAUGACAUUCUCUACUCUUGACUGUAAGGUGUUUCUUAAUUAACAGAGGCCCACUUCAUAAGACACCCUAUGCCAUUAAUGCCACAUCACAGUCCUGAUGUCUGAUUACCAGCAUGUGGACAAAAUUACCAUACUUUCCA